This 213-nucleotide ribosomal RNA is filed under the name Triticum aestivum (bread wheat). Its description in RNAcentral is "partial small subunit ribosomal RNA". The record is from RNAcentral. Lineage: Eukaryota; Viridiplantae; Streptophyta; Magnoliopsida; Poales; Poaceae.
AUGCAUCUUACUACAUGUUUGUAUUUAUUUACAUUGAUAUUUUCUUACUGCUUGCCUGUCCUUUCUCCUCUCCCUGCGCCCUACUUGUGUGUUCUUGCUCUUGCUUGUUGCAUGCGCAGGUUAAUUUCUUCUUGUGCUGUCCUGUGUCCUGUGUCCGCCCUCACAUUGUUCGCGUUAGUCUGCACUCCGUUCAUUUGCAUGGAACAUGUUUGA